UUUUAAAUACGUACUCGGAGGUUAUUUGAAUUCUGAAAAAUGUUCGAUGCCUAGCAAUGGCCACUGACUCAGCUGCUCACCACUUUUGAAAACCAGGCUCCUAACUGGCAAGUGGAGUGGUGCAGAUAAGUCUGUACCACAUCAUGGGGAUCUUUAUGUAAACUGAGAAAAACUUCCCCAUACAAGACUGACAACACUGACUUAGCCAUCUUCUCAGCAUAACCCCCCACCCUCCCAAACCACAAACAAAUCA
RNAcentral lists this long non-coding RNA (253 nucleotides) under Dromaius novaehollandiae (emu). RNAcentral's name for it is "lncRNA (ENSDNVG00000013856.1)". The record is from RNAcentral. Lineage: Eukaryota; Metazoa; Chordata; Aves; Casuariiformes; Dromaiidae.